Molecule: long non-coding RNA, 3678 nt
Organism: Meriones unguiculatus (Mongolian gerbil)
Lineage: Eukaryota; Metazoa; Chordata; Mammalia; Rodentia; Muridae
Exons: 2
Source: RefSeq, a predicted model, not a curated record
CACAUCAUUAGCCUUAAGGGGGAUCUUAGUAGAAGUCAUCUGGUAAGUUUCACCUUAAGAGCAAACCUCCCUCUUCCUACUGCCAGUAUUAGAAAGAGGGCAAGUGACCAGGAGCAGCAAGGAUGUGGGCCUCAGCUCUCCUUGUACUCCAGGAGCAACUUAGAGUGGAAAUGUUUGCAUAAGAGCCAAUGUGAGGGAGCAGCGUUUAGAUGCACGAGCCAGUGUCUCCCUGCACCUUUAUAAAGAGCCUCUCUUAGCUGGGCAGUGAUGACACAUGCUUUAAUCCCAGCACUUGGGAGGCAGAAGUAGGUGGAUUUCUGUGGCUUUGAGGCCAGUCUGGUCUACAAAAACGAGUCCAGGACAGCCAGAACAACACACAAAGAAACCAUAGUCUCAGGAAAAAAUUUAAAAAACAAUAAUAAUAAACCUCUCUUGCCUAGCAGUGGUGGUGCACACCUUUAAUCCCAGCACACUCAGAAGGCACAGGUAGGCAGGUCUCUGUGAGUUCAAGGUCUGCCUGGACUAUAGAUAGAGUUCCAGAGCAGCCAAGACUACCAAAUACCAAAACAAACAAAAAUCAGAGAAGCUACAUAUGUGCCAGUAUCCUCAGCAAGAGCUGGAGUGUUGUCCUUCAACAUAGGGAUGUUCUUGAAGGUAUCACAGAUUGCCUUUUGUUGAGAUCUGUGAGGGACAUAGCUUCUCUGGAUGGCCAGAGAAGGAGGAAUGUAAUGAAGAAAAGGAGCAACAAGAAAGCAAUGGGGACUUGUAUGCCUCAGAACUAAGUCUGUAGAGAUUGUUGGAGCCAAGGCCUGUGCUGCGUUCUAACCAGGCAGCAGUUCUUUGGCCUCUCAAGUUCUGACCAGCUUCUUCCCAGUAGCUGAUAGAUUUUCUUAUUUACUGACACUUACAAUUUUUUCAAGCUGGCAGUGGUGGCGCACUCCUUUAAUCCCAGCACUCAGGAGGCAGAGGCAGUGGAUCUCUGUGACCUCGAGGCCAGCCUGGUCUACAGAGGAAGUUCCCAGACAGCCAGGACUACACAGAGAAAGCCUGUCUCAAGAAGCCAAAAAAAAAUAAUAAUAAUUUUUUUUUCUGGUGUGUGCAGGGAGCAUGUGUGCGCAUACUUGUGGGGUUGUGCUGUGUAUGCAUGUAACUCGGACCCAGAGGGGCAACUUUGAAUGUCUUCCUCUAUGACUGUCCCAUCUUAUUUUUUGAGAUAGGGUUUCUCACCAAAUCUAGAGCUUGCCUUUCAGCUCAGCUGGCUGGCCAGACUCUACCUGCAUCUGUCCACUCUCCUUCCCAGCACUGUGAUCAAAGGCAUACACCACCAUGACCAGGUUUUAUGUGGGCACUGGGACUGGAACUCGGUCCCUCAUACCUGUGCAGCAAACCCUUUCCCCUCUGAGCUAUCUGCCCAGCCCCCACCUAACUCUUUUGCCUUGAUAGACCAUUAACACUAAACAAUGGGAACUAUAAUGAUUUUUACAAAGCUGGUUCCUAUAUUUUGACAUGAUCAUGUUUCCACUCUUACCAAAGAAGUCUUUAGUCAAGAAGAUUGAGAGUGUUAUAUUCCCCUAGCUUCUACUAUGGCACUUGGCACUUGAGUCAGUUUCUCUACAGGGUCUCACUGUGCAGCCCUGGCUGGCCUGGAAUUGACCGUGUAGACCAGGCUGCCCUUGAGCCCACAGAGAUCCACCCGCUUCUGACUCUACGUGCUGGGACUAAAGGUGUGUGCCCCCACACCCGGUCCAUACCUGGCAUUUUAAAAAGGCAGAAACCAUGGCAGUACUCUCUGAGGAUACUCUAUGAGCUCCAGAGAGGGAAGGGCUGUGUACAUUAUUCAGGAAGUCAGUGGCCAAGCAAGAUGCCAACCUGUGCCAUUAUUGUGUGGUCUAAAAGAUCAGAACUGUAAUGCACAGGCCCCCGGGGAGGGUGUGUGUGUGUGUGCGGGCACUAAUUAGAGUUACUAUUUAUGCUGCGACUUUGCUGAUUUUCGUGGUUAAGUGAGGGUUAGUGGUAUCCCUCAAACAUCUCAAGAGGCAGCCCCAGAGCUGCGAAUGGUGAAAGCACUCUGUGUUGAAAGACUCUUGUGUAUUGGAUCUUCCCGCCAGUUAGCUCUUUGAAACUAGGACCUGGUAAGAGGUUAAAAUAGUCUCAAAGCUCUAGGAUAGUGGCUCUCAACCUUCCUAAUGCUCUGACCCUUUAAUACAGCUCCUCAGGUUGUGCUGCCCCCAACCACAAAAUUCUUUUCAUUGCCACUUCAUAACUAAUUUUGCUACUGUUAUGAAUCAUAAUGUAGAUAUUUCUGGAAACAGAAGUUUGUCAAAGGGGCCAUGACCCACAGGUCGAGAACCACUGUUCCAGAAGCUGUGUGUUUCAGGCUCCUCAACUCAGAGCCUUAUAAACAGAAGGUGUGGGACAGGAGUCUAGGAAUGGGAUGAGAAGGACAAUAUGCCCCCCUUCGCUGUCCCUCAUGAGUCCAGUACUACUUCAGACAGACAGCUGGAUGGACGGGGCUUUUACUGAUGAGCCAAUGCUAAUGGAACAGCCUUUCAACAUCCGUAUAAAACAGCUAGUGUGGACUUGGGCAGCUGCCUCGUUUUCCUUAGACCCUAAACUCUCAGCUAAAAUACACCAGAGUUUUUCCUGUUAUACUGUUAAAACAGGCACUGACAUUUCUGUUUUAGGACGGGCUCUCAUGUACCCAGCUGACCUCAAACUCACCAUUGCUAAGGAGCAGAGGAUAGUCUUGAACUCCUGGUUCUGCCCUUGUCUCUCAAGAAUUGGGAUAACAAGUGUGCACCACAGCAGCAUGAUGAACAAAAAAAUGUUUUCUUUUUAACAGAAUUUGACCUUUGCUCACUAACCUGAGCCACUCUUCCUGCUUCACCACUCUCCUGGAGACUAAUUGGUGAAAGUAUUUGUUGCUCUGUUAUGAGACACAAAUUCUAUUUGUAAACCCAAAAUAUCAAUACAGGUUUGCAACAACAAAAGACAAAAGCAGAUCUCCUCCAGGUUAGGUCUCAGGCAGACCAGGAAGUGUGUCUCCUUAGUUCCUGGGCUCUCACUUAGACAAGGGCUCUCCUAUUCCCACCACGAGCUGCUGAAAAGAAAUUACUGUGAAUUCCUAGAAUAUCCUAUUAUCUUUGGAGAGCUUUGAUCAGAGGCCUGGAAACAAUACCGGAAACAAGUGGAAAAGUGGCUGAAAGGAACAGAGCUCCUAACAUCCAAGAAGAAAAUUUACACCACAACCAUAUGUGUUUGUUUUUAAACACUGAUGUACACCCGAAAAGUGGGGGGGAGUAACGACUCACUGAGUGUGCAGGCAAAUUACAACAGGGACUUGAAAGUCCAGAAUGGACAUCAAGUAAUUCCAAUAGGAACAGUGCUGUAAAAUGGACGUUCCUCCAUUGCUUUGUAUGCCAGCAAGAUGGCUAGGCAGGCAGAGGUUCUUGCCACCAAGCUUGAGGGGCAUUCUGGAACCCACACAGUGAAAGGAGAGAAUGGCCAUGCACACAUGUGAAUACACACACACACACAGACGGCUAGAAAUGCAGAAGACAAUAUACUUAUUUUAAAGAAACAGGGGUAUGUGUAUAUAUUAAUGCCUGUUUGGAGGACCAUGUACAUUUUCAUGUGUGAUUUUAAAGUUACAAAUUAAACUCAGCCCAUGUUUGACAA